AUGAACGCUAGCGGCAGGCCUAACACAUGCAAGGUCGAGGGGCAGCACAGGUAGCAAUACUGGGUGGCGACCGGCGGAUGGGUGCGUAACGCGUAUGCAACCUACCAUUGAUUGGGGCAUAGCCCGAAGAAAUUCGGAUUAAUACUCCAUAAUAUUCAUCAAAGGCAUCUUUUAUGAAUUAAAGCUUUUGCGAUCAAUGAUGGGCAUGCGUGACAUUAGUUAGUUGGUAAGGUAACGGCUCACCAAAACGAUGAUGUCUAGGGGUUCUGAGAGGAUUAUCCCCCACACUGGUACUGAGACACGGACCAGACUCCUACGGGAGGCAGCAGUGAGGAAUAUUGGUCAAUGGACGCAAGUCUGAACCAGCCAUGCCGCGUGCAGGAUGACGGCCCUAUGGGUUGUAAACUGCUUUUCCACGGGAAGAACCCUCCGACGUGUCGGAGACUGACGGUACCGUGGGAAUAAGCAUCGGCUAACUCCGUG
This 483-nucleotide ribosomal RNA is filed under the name uncultured bacterium. Its description in RNAcentral is "bacterial SSU rRNA". It matches the Rfam family "Bacterial small subunit ribosomal RNA", at positions 29 to 507 of the family's 1533-position model. The record is from RNAcentral.